AACGUACGCUGGCGGCACGCCUAACACAUGCAAGUCGAACGAAGUAGCAAUACUUAGUGGCAGACGGGUGAGUAACAUGUAGGUAUCUGCCCUUUGGCCUGGAAUAACACGAGGAAACUUGUGCUAAUACCGGAUAAGUCUUUACGGAGAAAGCUUUAUGCACCAAUGGAUGAGCCUGCACUUGAUUAGUUUGUUGGUGGGGUAAUGGCCUACCAAGACUGUGAUCAAUAGCUGAUUUGAGAGGAUGAUCAGCCACAUUGGGACUGAGACACGGCCCAAACUCCUACGGGAGGCAGCAGUGGGGAAUCUUGCACAAUGGAGGAAACUCUGAUGCAGCGAUGCCGCGUGAGUGAAGAAGGCCCUUGGGUUGUAAAGCUCUUUCGUCGGGGAAGAAAAUGACUGUACCCGAAUAAGAAGGUCCGGCUAACUUCGUGCCAGCAGCCGCGGUAAUACGAAGGGACCUAGCGUAGUUCGGAAUUACUGGGCUUAAAGAGUUCGUAGGUGGUUGAAAAAGUUAGUGGUGAAAUCCCAGAGCUUAACUCUGGAACUGCCAUUAAAACUUUUCAGCUAGAGUAUGAUAGAGGAAAGCAGAAUUUCUAGUGUAGAGGUGAAAUUCGUAGAUAUUAGAAAGAAUACCAAUUGCGAAGGCAGCUUUCUGGAUCAUUACUGACACUGAGGAACGAAAGCAUGGGUAGCGAAGAGGAUUAGAUACCCUCGUAGUCCAUGCCGUAAACGAUGUGUGUUAGACGUUGGAAAUUUAUUUUCAGUGUCGCAGGGAAACCGAUAAACACACCGCCUGGGGAGUACGACCGCAAGGUUAAAACUCAAAUGAAUUGACGGGGACCCGCACAAGUAGUGGAGCAUGUGGUUUAAUUCGAAGAUACGCGCAGAACCUUACCAACACUUGACAUGUUCGUCGCGACUCUAAGAGAUUAGAGUUUUCGGUUCGGCCGGACGAAACACAGGUGCUGCAUGGCUGUCGUCAGCUCGUGUCGUGAGAUGUUGGGUUAAGUCCCGCAACGAGCGCAACCCUCACUUUUAGUUGCCAUCAUUAAGUUGGGCACUCUGAAAGAACUGCCAGUGAUAAGCUGGAGGAAGGUGGGGAUGACGUCAAGUCCUCAUGGCCCUUACGUGUUGGGCUACACACGUGCUACAAUGGUAUCUACAACAGGAAGCAAGACUGCGAAGUUAAGCAAAUCCCUAAAAGAUACCUCAGUUCGGAUUGCACUCUGCAACUCGAGUGCAUGAAGCUGGAAUUACUAGUAAUCGUGGAUCAGCGUGCCACGGUGAAUGCGUUCCCGGGUCU
Molecule: ribosomal RNA, 1306 nt
Filed under: uncultured bacterium
Lineage: Bacteria
Description: bacterial SSU rRNA
Rfam family: Bacterial small subunit ribosomal RNA
Source: RNAcentral